AUGAGCUCUCGGAUGGCCGGAUCGGUCCUCCUCCGCCGCGCCGGCGCUGGCGCUAGCCGCCUCUUCUCCACCACCACGAUGUCCCCAGGGGCCAGGACCUUCCUCGCCGGCGGCAAGGGCACGUGGGUGCGGAUGAUGUCCACUUCUGCGGCCUCGCAGGUCAAGGACGAGGCGGCUAAGUUGGUUUCGCUACCGCGGCCAUGGGAGACGUACACCAUGGACAUGUCGAUCGAUCUGACCAAGCACCACGUGCCCAACACGAUGCUUGACAAGAUAGCCUACUACACCGACAAGUCCCUGCACUUCCCCACCGACAUCUUCUUCCAGGACGAGCUGCAGCAGGACAACCUGGAGCGGAAGAACUUCGAGGGCAAGAUCAAGGAGAACCAGGAGACGAUCACCGGUUACCUCAUCCUCGCCGGCAUGCUUGGCUCCUUUGACAGACCCCUCUUUGGCUCCGACCAACUUACUUUUGUCGCUGGCUAG
Molecule: ribosomal RNA, 486 nt
Filed under: Triticum aestivum (bread wheat)
Lineage: Eukaryota; Viridiplantae; Streptophyta; Magnoliopsida; Poales; Poaceae
Description: partial small subunit ribosomal RNA
Source: RNAcentral